UGGGGAAUAUUGUGCAAUGGGCGGAAGCCUGACGCAGCGACGCCGCGUGAGGGAUGAAGGCCUUCGGGUUGUAAACCUCUUUCAGCAUCCACGAAGUUCCGGUAUUCGCCGGGGUGACGGUAGAUGCAGAAGAAGCGCCGGCUAACUACGUGCCAGCAGCCGCGGUAAUACGUAGGGCGCAAGCGUUGUCCGGAAUUAUUGGGCGUAAAGGGCUCGUAGGCGGCCAACUAAGUCAGACGUGAAAUCCCUCGGCUUAACCGGGGAACUGCAUCUGAUACUGGAUGGCUUGAGAUUGGGAGAGGGAUGCGGAAUUCCAGGUGUAGCGGUGAAAUGCGUAGAUAUCUGGAGGAACACCGGUGGCGAAGGCGGCAUCCUGGACCAACACUGACGCUGAGGAGCGAAAGCCAGGGGAGCAAACGG
RNAcentral lists this ribosomal RNA (420 nucleotides) under uncultured bacterium. Its description in RNAcentral is "bacterial SSU rRNA". It matches the Rfam family "Bacterial small subunit ribosomal RNA", at positions 355 to 775 of the family's 1533-position model. The record is from RNAcentral.